Molecule: long non-coding RNA, 727 nt
Filed under: Setaria viridis
Lineage: Eukaryota; Viridiplantae; Streptophyta; Magnoliopsida; Poales; Poaceae
Description: long non-coding RNA (SVIR_LNC009269)
Source: RNAcentral
ACAACUCCAAGCGGAUUUCCGCUCAGACUCCAAAUAUCCAAUCCACAUUAGAGCCAAUUGAGGACAAUGAUUGUGACUCGGCCUCUCUUGAAGAACUCCCUUUAUCAGGUCCGCAGCAGGGCCUGGUAAUCACAUCAACACCACAAGGCAGAUUCAUCUACUGGCCGGGCAUGAAGCCAUCCUUCCAUGCUCAAGACAAUGAGUCACUCCUCGUCGCACACUUGGAUAUCCUCCCAUCCCAAGAGGGUACUCCACUCUCACCGAUCCGCGAAGAAGAUGGCUCCACUGAAGUCAUCACAUCUAGCUCUGGAAGCUACUCUACGAUAGAGAACUCUUUGUUGUUGUUUCGCUAGCUGAUGGAAUAGGAACCAGCGAUCAACACCAAAGAACUCCUUGUCAGGAAUGCCAAAUCGAAGAAGUCUCCCAAGAUGAAUUAUUAGCUGACACUCCGGAGGGUGAAACUAGCAGCCAGAGAACUCAAAGAAGAGCAAGAAACACUCAGAGAGCGGAACAUCGUCGAUUUCUAGCCGCAAGAUUUCCCAUUGUGAACCUUGAUAGAGCAUUCGAAGCAGUACAAACAUGAGAACACAAUACGCCACUUGCCACUAUUGCCUGUAUUAGCCUUACCGCCCGGUCAAUGCCUCCAAACAAAUACAGCGAUCUCCUGUCAUACUUGGCAGAACACGCAUACAAACUCCUCGACAAGGAAACACCAAUCUCAUCCGUG